This 72-nucleotide transfer RNA is filed under the name Lentzea alba. Its description in RNAcentral is "Lentzea sp. NEAU-D13 tRNA-Val". It matches the Rfam family "tRNA". Rfam says of the family: Transfer RNA (tRNA) molecules are approximately 80 nucleotides in length. Their secondary structure includes four short double-helical elements and three loops (D, anti-codon, and T loops). Further hydrogen bonds mediate the characteristic L-shaped molecular structure. tRNAs have two regions of fundamental functional importance: the anti-codon, which is responsible for specific mRNA codon recognition, and the 3' end, to which the tRNAs corresponding amino acid is attached (by aminoacyl-tRNA synthetases). tRNAs cope with the degeneracy of the genetic code in two manners: having more than one tRNA (with a specific anti-codon) for a particular amino acid; and 'wobble' base-pairing, i.e. permitting non-standard base-pairing at the 3rd anti-codon position. Lineage: Bacteria; Bacillati; Actinomycetota; Actinomycetes; Pseudonocardiales; Pseudonocardiaceae. The record is from RNAcentral.
CGUCCGGUAGCUCAGCGGAAGAGCGUCUGCCUUACAAGCAGAGGGUCCCGGGUUCGAAUCCUGGCCGGACGA